GCAGAAUGUCCGCCUGACAGGACCGCCCCCCACCGUCCGUCGCCUUCGCCACCAGGUUGUACUCGACCUCCCUCUCACGGUCCAACACAGCCAGAGUGAACAGCUCACCUGGGGAAAGGCAAUCAGCUGGCACUGAAGACGUGAGGCGAGGAUAUUAUGACAGAAAUAAAGUGUGAUGGAUGUCAGUGAGGUGCCUCCGAAAACGGGG
Long non-coding RNA from Toxotes jaculatrix (banded archerfish), 208 nucleotides. RefSeq lists it as uncharacterized. NCBI's taxonomy places the organism in Eukaryota, Metazoa, Chordata, Actinopteri, Toxotidae. The record is from RefSeq and is a predicted model, not a curated record. The transcript is spliced from 2 exons.